GAUGAACGCUGGCGGCGUGCCUCAAACAUGGCAAGUCGAGCGGGGCUAUGUAAUAUCGCAAGGUAGAACAUAGCCUAGCGGCGAACGGGUGAGUAACACGUGGGUAACCUGCCUGGAAGACAGGGAUAACGAUUCGAAAGGGUCGCUAAUACCUGAUAAUAUCCUUUCAUCGCAUGGUGAUAGGAAGAAAGGGGAAACCCGCUUUCAGAUGGGCCCGCGUCCCAUCAGCUAGUUGGUAAGGUAAAGGCUUACCAAGGCGACGACGGGUAGCCGGUCUGAGAGGAUGUACGGCCACACUGGGACUGAGAUACGGCCCAGACUCCUACGGGAGGCAGCAGUUGGGAAUCUUAGGCAAUGGACGAAAGUCUGACCUAGCGACGCCGCGUGGAGGAAGAAGUCCUUCGGGAUGUAAACUUCUGAACUAGCCGAAUAAAAGGCCUGUGGACACACAGGAGAAGAAAGUAGGCUAGGAAAAGUCCCGGCUAACUACGUG
This 493-nucleotide ribosomal RNA is filed under the name uncultured bacterium. RNAcentral's name for it is "bacterial SSU rRNA". It matches the Rfam family "Bacterial small subunit ribosomal RNA", at positions 28 to 507 of the family's 1533-position model. The record is from RNAcentral.